Molecule: small RNA, 509 nt
Filed under: uncultured Glomus
Lineage: Eukaryota; Fungi; Glomeromycota; Glomeromycetes; Glomerales; Glomeraceae
Description: SSU rRNA
Rfam family: Eukaryotic small subunit ribosomal RNA
Source: RNAcentral
AGCAGCCGCGGUAAUUCCAGCUCCAAUAGCGUAUAUUAAAGUUGUUGCAGUUAAAAAGCUCGUAGUUGAAUUUCGGGAUCAAUGGGUCGGUCAUGCCCUCGGUAUGUACUGAUUUCAUUGGUUCUCACCUUCUAAGGAACCAUGAUGUCAUUUAUUUGAUGUUGUGGGAAAUUAGGACUGUUACCUUGAAAAAAUUAGAGUGUUUAAAGCAGGCUAACGCUUGAAUACAUUAGCAUGGAAUAAUGAAAUAGGACAUCCGAUUCUAUUUUGUUGGUUUCUAGGAUCGAUGUAAUGAUUAAUAGGGAUAGUUGGGGGCAUUAGUAUUCAAUUGUCAGAGGUGAAAUUCUUGGAUUUAUUGAAGACUAACUACUGCGAAAGCAUUUGCCAAGGAUGUUUUCAUUAAUCAAGAACGAAAGUUAGGGGAUCGAAGACGAUCAGAUACCGUCGUAGUCUUAACCAUAAACUAAUGCCGACUAGGGAUCGGAUGAUGCUUAUUUUUUAAUGACUCU